This 253-nucleotide ribosomal RNA is filed under the name uncultured bacterium. RNAcentral describes it as "partial 16S ribosomal RNA". It matches the Rfam family "Bacterial small subunit ribosomal RNA", at positions 524 to 776 of the family's 1533-position model. The record is from RNAcentral.
GACAGAGGUGCCAAGCGUUAGGCGGAAUCACUGGGCUUAAAGCGUGUGUAGGCGGAUCGUUAAGUACCUUGUGAAAUCCCACGGCUCAACCGUGGAACUGCUCGGUAUACUGGCGGUCUUGAGCCACCUAGGGGCAACUGGAACGAGCGGUGGAGCGGUGAAAUGCGUAGAUAUCGCUUGGAACGCCAACGGUGAAAACAGGUUGCUGGGGGUGUGCUGACGCUGAGACACGAAAGCCAGGGGAGCGAACGGG